CAGUUAAAAAGCUCGUAGUUGGAUUUCUGGCGGGGACCCAAGUACCCCUGGUGGGUGUGCUCGGGCCCGGCCAUCCUUCUGUAAACUUUCGCGCGUCCUUCACCGGUCGGCAAAGGGAUCAGAUAAUUUACCUUGAGAAAAUUAAAGUGUUUCAGGCAGGCUUAGCCGGAAUACAUUAGCAUGGAAUAAUGGAAUAGGACUGAGGUCUCGUUGUUGGUUACGCGGACUACAGUAAUGAUUAAUAGGGACAGUUGGGGGCAUUAGUAUUUAUUAGCUAGAGGUGGAAUUCUCUAAUUUGAUAAAGACUAGCUUAUGCGAAAGCAUUUGCCAAGGAUGUUUUCAUUAAUCAAGAACGAAAGUUAGGGGAUCAAAGACGAUCAGAUACCGUCCUAGUCUUAACCAUAAACUAUGCCGACUCGGGAUCGGGAGCGUGUGUUAUCCGCUUUCGGCACCGUAUGAGAAAUCAAAGUCUCUGGGUUCUGGGGGGAGUAUGGUCGCAAAGGCUGAAAACUUAAAGGAAUUGACGGAAAGGGCACCACCAGGCGUGGAGCU
RNAcentral lists this ribosomal RNA (552 nucleotides) under uncultured eukaryote. RNAcentral describes it as "SSU rRNA". It matches the Rfam family "Eukaryotic small subunit ribosomal RNA", at positions 616 to 1183 of the family's 1831-position model. The record is from RNAcentral.